Molecule: long non-coding RNA, 222 nt
Organism: Bradysia coprophila
Lineage: Eukaryota; Metazoa; Arthropoda; Insecta; Diptera; Sciaridae
Source: RefSeq, a predicted model, not a curated record
CAGUACUUUGUUAUAGGGGAUUCUUCUGAAAAAAAAGAAGACCGAAAUCGGACGCAUUUUCUAUUGGAAUUUUGUAUAUGUGCCCAAUAAGGUAUUCAACCUCAGAACCCAAAACCGCUUUCAAAAAAAUUCUUCAAAGCUUUUGUGGCUGGUAAGAGGUCAUCAAAAACCGAAAACCUGCACUUUUCUUACAAAAAUUUCUCCAGUUACACGAGCCGUGCA